Cercocebus atys (sooty mangabey) is the source of this 107-nucleotide small nuclear RNA. Lineage: Eukaryota; Metazoa; Chordata; Mammalia; Primates; Cercopithecidae. The record is from Ensembl.
GUGCUCACUUUGGCAGCACAUAUACUAAAAUUGGAACAAUACAGAGAAGAUUAGUAUGGCCUCUGCACAUGGAUGACCUGCAAAUUUUUGAAAUGUUCCAUAUUAAA